This 314-nucleotide long non-coding RNA is filed under the name Coturnix japonica (Japanese quail). RNAcentral's name for it is "lncRNA (ENSCJPG00005002668.1)". The record is from RNAcentral. Lineage: Eukaryota; Metazoa; Chordata; Aves; Galliformes; Phasianidae.
GAUUGGGGCACAAUGGGGGUCAAUGGGGCACAAUGGGGUCAAUGUGGGGCACAAUGGGGUCAGUGGGGCACAAUGGGGUCAGAUGUGGGGCACAAUGGGGUCAAUGUGGGGCACAAUGGGGUCAAUGUGGGGCACAAUGGGGGUCAGAUGUGGGGCACAAAUGGGGUCAAUGUGGGGCACCAAUUGGGUUUCAAUUGUGGGCCCAUAACCAUGACCCAUGGCCCCCCCCCCACACCCCCCCCCCACCACCCAAGUGCCAGCCCCAUUGACUCACCACGAUACGGAACGGUGAGUUGGGGGACGUGCUGCCCCCC